AAGAAGCACCCUCUCUUCAAGCUCUCAGAGAUGGAGACCAGCUCAUUGUUCCUAUGGGUGCUGCUGCUCUGGGUUCCAGGCUCCACUGGUGACAUUGUGCUGACCCAGUCUCCAGCAUCUUUGGCUGUGUCUCUAGGGCAGAGUGCCACUAUCUCCUGCAGGGCCAGCGAAAGUGUCAGUAUAUCUAGCUAUAAUUAUAUGCACUGGUACCAACAGAAACCAGGACAGCCACCCAAACUCCUCAUCUAUGGUGCAUCCAACCUAGCAUCUGGGGUCCCUGCCAGGUUCAGUGGCAGUGGAUCUGGAACAGACUUCACCCUUGCCAUUCAUCCUGUGGAGGCUGAUGAUGAUGCAGACUAUUACUGUCAGCAAAGUAAGAAGCUUUCUCCCACAGUGCUCCAGGGCUGA
This is a non-coding RNA of Grammomys surdaster, 408 nucleotides long. NCBI's taxonomy places the organism in Eukaryota, Metazoa, Chordata, Mammalia, Rodentia, Muridae. The record is from the annotation of a RefSeq genome assembly.